CUGAGUACGGCGGAACACGUGAAAUUCCGUCGGAAUCCGGGAGGACCAUCUCCCAAGGCUAAAUACUCCCUAGUGACCGAUAGUGAACCAGUACCGUGAGGGAAAGGUGAAAAGCACCCCGGAAGGGGAGUGAAACAGUUCCUGAAACCGUGUGCCUACAAGUAGUUAGAGCCCGUUAAUGGGUGAUAGCGUGCCUUUUGUAGAAUGAACCGGCGAGUUACGAUUUGUUGCAAGGUUAAGCGGAAAAAGCGGAGCCGUAGCGAAAGCGAGUCUGAAUAGGGCGCAUAAGUAACAGGUCGUAGACCCGAAACCAGGUGAUCUACCCAUGUCCAGGAUGAAGGUAAGGUAAUACUUACUGGAGGUCCGAACCCACGCACGUUGAAAAGUGCGGGGAUGAGGUGUGGGUAGCGGAGAAAUUCCAAUCGAACUUGGAGAUAGCUGGUUCUCUCCGAAAUAGCUUUAGGGCUAGCCUCGAGGUAAAGAGUCAUGGAGGUAGAGCACUGUUUGGACUAGGGGCCCUUCUCGGGUUACCGAAUUCAGAUAAACUCCGAAUGCCAUGUACUUAUACUCGGGAGUCAGACUGCGAGUGAUAAGAUCCGUAGUCGAAAGGGAAACAGCCCAGACCACCAGUUAAGGUCCCCAAAUAUAUGUUAAGUGGAAAAGGAUGUGGGGUUGCUUAGACAACCAGGAUGUUGGCUUAGAAGCAGCCACCAUUGAAAGAGUGCGUAAUAGCUCACUGGUCGAGUGACCCCGCGCCGAAAAUGUACCGGGGCUAAACAUAUUACCGAAACUGUGGAUGAACCUCUUUAGAGGUUCGUGGUAGGAGAGCGUUCUAAGGGCGGUGAAGUCAGACCGGAAGGACUGGUGGAGCGCUUAGAAGUGAGAAUGCCGGUAUGAGUAGCGAAAGAAGGGUGAGAAUCCCUUCCACCGAAUAUCUAAGGUUUCCUGAGGAAGGCUCGUCCGC
This 964-nucleotide ribosomal RNA is filed under the name Listeria monocytogenes. RNAcentral describes it as "partial 23S ribosomal RNA". It matches the Rfam family "Bacterial large subunit ribosomal RNA", at positions 408 to 1373 of the family's 2925-position model. The record is from RNAcentral. Lineage: Bacteria; Bacillati; Bacillota; Bacilli; Caryophanales; Listeriaceae.